UGCUGUGUUAGCUUGGUGUGUGUGUGUGUGUGUGUAUAUGUGUGUAUGUGUGUGUAUGUGUGCUGUGUUAGCUCGGUGUGUGUGUGUGUGUGUGUGUGUAUGUGUGUGUAUGUGUGCUGUGUUAGCUCGGUGUGUGUGUGUGUAUGUGUGUGUAUGUGCUGUGUUAGCUCGGUGUGUGUGUGUGUGUAUGUGUGCUGUGUUAGCUCGGUGUGUGUGUGUGUGUGUGUGUGUGUGUGUGUGUGUGUGUGUGUGUGUGUGUGUGUGUGUGUGUGUGUGUGUGUGUGUGUGUGUGUGUGUGUGUGUGCUGUGUUAGCUCGGUGUGUCUGUAUGUGUGUGUAUGUGUGUGUAUGUGCUGUGUUAGCUCGGUGUGUGUAUGUGUGUGUAUGUGCUGUGUUAGCUCGCUCGGUGUGUGUGUAUGUGUGUGUAUGUGCUGUGUUAGCUCGGUGUGUGUGUGUGUGUAUGUGUGUGUAUGUGCUGUGUUAGCUCGGUGUGUGUGUGUGUAUGUGUGCUGUGUUAGCUCGGUGUGUGUGUGUGUGUGUAUGUGUUCUGUGUUAGCUCGGUGUGUGUGUGUGUAUGUGUGCUGUGUUAGCUCGGUGUGUGUGUGUGUAUGUGUUCUGUGUUAGCUCGGUGUGUGUGUGUGUGUAUGUGUGCUGUGUUAGCUCGGUCUCGGUGUGUGUAUGUGUGUGUAUGUGUGUGUAUGUGUUCUGUGUUAGCUCGGUGUGUGUGUGUGUAUGUAUGUGUAUGUGUGCUGUGUUAGCUCGGUGUGUGUGUGUGUAUGUGUGUGUAUGUGUGUGUAUGUGUUCUGUGUUAGCUCGGUGUGUGUGUGUGUAUGUGUGCUGUGUUAGCUCGGUGUGUGUGUGUGUAUGUGUGCUGUGUUAGCUCGGUGUGUGUAUGUGUGCUGUGUUAGCUCGGUGUGUGUAUGUGUUCUGUGUUAGCUCGGUGUGUGUAUGUGUUCUGUGUUAGCUCGGUGUGUGUGUGUGUAUGUGUGCUGUGUUAGCUCGCUGUGUGUGUGUGUAUGUGUGUGUAUGUGUGUGUAUGUGUGCUGUGUUAGCUCGGUGUGUGUGUGUGUAUGUAUGUAUGUGUAUGUGUGCUGUGUUAGCUCGGUGUGUGUAUGUGUGCUGUGUUAGCUCGGUGUGUGUGUGUGUAUGUGUUCUGUGUUAGCUCGGUGUGUGUAUGUGUGCUGUGUUAGCUCGGUGUGUGUAUGUGUGCUGUGUUAGCUCGGUGUGUGUAUGUGUGCUGUGUUAGCUCGGUGUGUGUAUGUGUGCUGUGUUAGCUCGGUGUGUGUAUGUGUGCUGUGUGUGUGUAUGUGUUCUGUGUUAGCUCGGUGUGUGUGUGUGUAUGUGUGCUGUGUUAGCUCGGUGUGUGUGUGUGUAUGUGUGUGUAUGUGUGUGUAUGUGUGCUGUGUUAGCUCGGUGUGUGUAUGUGUGCUGUGUUAGCUCGGUGUGUGUAUGUGUGCUGUGUUAGCUCGGUGUGUGUGUGUGUAUGUGUGCUGUGUUAGCUCGGUGUGUGUGUGUGUAUGUGUGCUGUGUUAGCUCGGUGUGUGUAUGUGUGCUGUGUUAGCUCGGUGUGUGUGUGUGUAUGUGUGCUGUGUUAGCUCGGUGUGUGUGUGUGUAUGUAUGUGUAUGUGUGCUGUGUUAGCUCGGUGUGUGUAUGUGUGCUGUGUUAGCUCGGUGUGUGUAUGUGUGCUGUGUGUGUGUAUGUGUGCUGUGUUAGCUCGGUGUGUGUGUGUGUAUGUGUGCUGUGUUAGCUCGGUGUGUGUGUGUGUAUGUGUGCUGUGUUAGCUCGGUGUAUGUGUGUGUGUGUAUGUGUGCUGUGUUAGCUCGGUGUAUGUGUGUGUGUGUAUGUGUGCUGUGUUAGCUCGGUGUGUGUGUGUGUAUGUGUGCUGUGUUAGCUCGGUGUGCUGAGCGGCUCAAAUGGCCCUUAGUAAAGCUGCUGGCUGCCGCAUCCUCAGCUGGAGUGUUUUUGCUUGCUUCCUGUGUGUGUGCAUUUGUGUGUGUGCGCGCGUGCGUGUGUGUGUUAGCUCGUGUGUGUGUGCAUUUGUGUGUGUGCGCGCGUGCGUGUGUGUGUGUGUGUGUUUGUGUGUGAGAAAGAGAACAAGAGAGAUAGAGGGAGGAAGGGAUGUGUGCAAAAAUAUAUUGAAUUCAGCCCUCUCAAUCCACCUUCCAAAUGUGUUGAUUAGUUCAUUAGAAUCCACAUUAGCUUUUGCACAAGCAGCAGCUACUCUUUCUGGCGUAACACAGCAUGAAAAAACCACUGAUACAGUGAUACACUGAUACACUGAUAGACUGAUACACUGAUACACGAUACACUGAUACACUGAUACACUGAUAGACUGAUACACUGAUAGACUGACACACGAUGGACUGAUAGACUGAUAGUCUGAUACACUGAUAGACUAAUAGACUGAUACACUGAUACACUGAUAGACUGAUAGACAGCCACCUCGGUGACUGGGAAUCUGGUCUCUCAAACCCUGCCUCAUUAUCUGUGUUUGGGCAGUGAUAGUCUGGCUUGGUGUGUAUGUGUGUGUGACACUAUCUGGCUGUCUGUGCGUGAGUUAUUAUUGCCUGAAACUCAACCUUUAACCUUACCCUCAGUCAGUCUUGGGUGUACAUUCAUACUGCUUUCCUCCCCUUUUCAUUAUCCUUAGACAUAUUGGCUGUAAGUUUGAUGUUUGGUGUGAUGUGUAUUUUAUUAUAAUAAAGUUCAAUGAGAUCCAAA
Long non-coding RNA from Oncorhynchus keta (chum salmon), 2721 nucleotides. RefSeq lists it as uncharacterized. The transcript is spliced from 3 exons. Lineage: Eukaryota; Metazoa; Chordata; Actinopteri; Salmoniformes; Salmonidae. The record is from RefSeq and is a predicted model, not a curated record.